AAUAUACAAAUAAUCACAUUGUUAAAAAUAUCGGCAUUACUUAUAAGUGUUACGAAAAUAUUUUUAUGUUCUACUUAAAAUCGAGAAAGAAAAGAAACAGUGGAAGCCAUUAUGACUCCGCAAACGGUCAAUUAGCAGACUUUAUACUUAACUGUAAUAAACAACGUCAUCAGCAGAGAAGAAAUAACUGUCAUCUUUUAAUGGUAAUAAAAGAAUGGUAACCAUGCCUGCGUUAACCUUGGUGGGGCAUCAGUGAGAGAUGAUAGUGAUGAUGCCAGCAAUCAAGGGCCAAGGCACAGAACCCAGCAACCCGGUGGUAGUCGCCCUCGGUGAUGAAGCUGGCACAAAAAUGAUCAUCAUAAGACUUCCACCUGAGCCCUUUUUUGGAAUGUUAAGAAGACCUCUAUUAAUUCCGAAAUUGUUCUGCAAGGCAGAAGGCAACAAUACCGUUUUAAGUACGUGGGACACUCAGAAAGUUUUGCGACACUAAAAAAAAUGUUCUAUAGUCCGCCGCAGACACCUCGUUUACCUGAGAGCGCAUCAUUCGACGACGAAAUCUGUAUCCCUUUGAGCUGAUUUUUUAUUUUUGGGAAUAAGAAGAAGUCACACGGUGCUAGGUCAGGGCUGUAAGGAGGGUGACCCAGGAGUUUGACCGGUGUGCUGUCUAAGAAGUCCCUUGUAUUGAUUGCGGUGUGGGCGGGCGCAUUAUCGUGGUGGAGCAGUUAGCCCGCGACCAAACACAGGGCUCCGUGUUUGGUCGCUUGUUGCUCACAACAAAGAAAACUUCUGCCAAGCAUUUGGUAGUAUACCAUUAGGCGUAAAUGCUUCUUUGGUUUCGUAAAGGAAUUGAAGUAACCAGUCAAAUUGAAAAAGGUCGCGAUCAAAAUCUUCCCUCUGCUUCUGGGUCGCUUUACUUUCGUAGGCGUUGAUUCGUUUUGAAACACCCAAACUGUCAAUUGGCGCUUUGUUUCUGGAUCGUAUUGAUAAAUCCAGGAUUCAUCACCUGUAACGAUGUCGUAAACACGCCGAGACGAGCUUGCUUCAAAUUUGUUUAUCAUAUCAUGGCACCAUUCCACCCUUGCCUGUUUCUGAACAUCGGUGUGGUUGUGCGGCAUCCAGCGUGAAACUAUCCUCCGCACUAUGCACGUGUAGAAUCUCGUGAAGGCUUCCUGAUUCAAUCUGCAGUAUAUGCUGAAUCUCUUGGUAUGUAAUUUGUCUAUUGUCUUGGAUAAAAUUUUUCAUUACUAGCACGUUUUCUUCCGUAACAGCCGUCAAAGGGCGACCACUUCUUUCUUCAUUCCCCAAAGUUAGUCGACCGCGCUUAAAUUCAUUAUACCAAUGAUACACGGUUGCCUUAGAAGGGCCUUCAUUCAUGAAUGCCAUUUGAAGUCUAUCGUACGAUUCGUCCGGUUUCAGGCGACACUUAAAAAUCGUAAAAAAUCAUAGCGCGAAAAUAUUCUCUACGUAAAUCCAUUUUUCAAUGAGACACGGUAAUUUUAAUUAGCCCGCAAAAAAUGUGGAGGGAAGUUUUGUAUUUAGAACGUACCUAUUUUCAUUUAUAAGUAAGCAUAUUUUUAAAUAAAUUAUAAUUGGCCAGUCUCACAUACAUAAAAACUUUUUCUCGCAAUACUUUCUGAGUGACCUGGUAUUUGCUGACUAUAUAUAAAUUAAAAUCAACAGCAAAUAUCAAGCAAAUUUUGGCUAUCGUCCUAUCACAAACUAUAAGAUACCUACGUAAUCAGGGGGCUGGAUAUAUAACCAAUCAAAUUACACGUAUGGUUUAAUAAA
Molecule: long non-coding RNA, 1788 nt
Organism: Galleria mellonella (greater wax moth)
Lineage: Eukaryota; Metazoa; Arthropoda; Insecta; Lepidoptera; Pyralidae
Exons: 3
Source: RefSeq, a predicted model, not a curated record